This 130-nucleotide small RNA is filed under the name Homo sapiens (human). Lineage: Eukaryota; Metazoa; Chordata; Mammalia; Primates; Hominidae. The record is from RNAcentral.
AGAGUUUGUGAAGGGAAACUCCCCCAUAUAAAACCAUCAGAUCUCAUGAGACUUAUUCACUAUCAUGACAACAGUACGGGAAAGACUCAUCCCAUGAUUCAGUUACCUCCCACCGGGUCCCUCCCACAAC